GCUAAACGCGAAGAACCUUACCAAGGCUUGACAUACACGAGAACGGGCCAGAAAUGGUCAACUCUUUGGACACUCGUGAACAGGUGGUGCAUGGUUGUCGUCAGCUCGUGUCGUGAGAUGUUGGGUUAAGUCCCGCAACGAGCGCAACCCUCGUUCUAUGUUGCCAGCACGUAAUGGUGGGAACUCAUGGGAUACUGCCGGGGUCAACUCGGAGGAAGGUGGGGAUGACGUCAAAUCAUCAUGCCCCUUAUGUCUUGGGCUUCACGCAUGCUACAAUGGCCGGUACAAUGGGCUGCGAUACCGUAAGGUGGAGCGAAUCCCAAAAAGCCGGUCCCAGUUCGGAUUGAGGUCUGCAACUCGACCUCAUGAAGUCGGAGUCGCUAGUAAUCGCAGAUCAGCAACGCUGCGGUGAAUACGUUCCCGGGUCUUGUACACACCG
Molecule: ribosomal RNA, 439 nt
Filed under: uncultured bacterium
Lineage: Bacteria
Description: bacterial SSU rRNA
Rfam family: Bacterial small subunit ribosomal RNA
Source: RNAcentral